RNAcentral lists this ribosomal RNA (1504 nucleotides) under metagenome. RNAcentral's name for it is "bacterial LSU rRNA". It matches the Rfam family "Bacterial large subunit ribosomal RNA", at positions 1278 to 2910 of the family's 2925-position model. The record is from RNAcentral.
UAGAUCAGAAGCGAGAAUGUUGACAUGAGUAGCGAUAAAGAGGGUGAGAGACCCUCUCGCCGUAAGUCCAAGGGUUCCUGCUUAAAACUAAUCUGAGCAGGGUAAGCCGGCCCCUAAGGCGAGGCCGAAAGGCGUAGUCGAUGGGAACCAGGUUAAUAUUCCUGGGCCAGGAGGAAGUGACGGAUCUCGAAGGUAGUUUGCCCUUAUCGGAUUGGGUGGGCUGCUCAGAGGUUCCAGGAAAUAGCCCUCCAUCAGACCGUACCCUAAACCGACACAGGUGGACUGGUAGAGUAUACCAAGGCGCUUGAGAGAACCACGUUAAAGGAACUCGGCAAAAUGCCUCCGUAAGUUCGCGAGAAGGAGGCCCCAUAUGUGCGCAAGCAGGUGUGGGGGGCACAAACUAGGGGGUGGCGACUGUCUACUUAAAACACAGGGCUGUGCGAAGCCGUAAGGCGACGUAUACAGUCUGACGCCUGCCCGGUGCUGGAAGGUUAAAAGGAGGGGUGCAAGCUCUGAAUUGAAGCCCCAGUAAACGGCGGCCGUAACGAUAACGGUCCUAAGGUAGCGAAAUUCCUUGUCGGGUAAGUUCCGACCUGCACGAAUGGCGUAACGAUCUCCCCGCUGUCUCUAACGUGGACUCAGCGAAAUUGAACUGUGUGUCAAGAUGCACACUACCCGCGGUUAGACGGAAAGACCCCAUGCACCUUUACUCCAGCUUUGCACUGGUAUCAGGAUUGUGAUGUGCAUGAUAGGUGGUAGGCAUCGAAGCGGGGACGCCAGUUCUCGUGGAGCCUCCCUUGAGAUACCACCCUUCGCCAUCUUGAUAUCUAACCGCGGCCCGUUAUCCGGGUCCGGGACCCUGCAUGGUGGGGAGUUUGACUGGGGCGGUCGCCUCCCAAACAGUAACGGAGGCGCGCGAAGGUAGGCUCAGACCGGUCGGAAAUCGGUCGUUGAGUGCAAUGGCAGAAGCCUGCCUGACUGCAAGUCUGACAAGACGAGCAGAGACGAAAGUCGGUCAUAGUGAUCCGGUGGUCCCAAGUGGGAGGGCCAUCGCUCAACGGAUAAAAGGUACGCUGGGGAUAACAGGCUGAUGAUGCCCAAGAGUCCAUAUCGACGGCAUCGUUUGGCACCUCGAUGUCGGCUCAUCUCAUCCUGGGGCUGGAGCAGGUCCCAAGGGUAUGGCUGUUCGCCAUUUAAAGAGGUACGUGAGCUGGGUUUAGAACGUCGUGAGACAGUUCGGUCCCUAUCUGCCGUGGGUGUAGGAGACUUGAGAAGAGUUGCCCCUAGUACGAGAGGACCGGGGUGAACGAACCACUGGUGGACCAGUUGUCGUGCCAACGGCAGUGCUGGGUAGCUAUGUUCGGACAGGAUAACCGCUGAAGGCAUCUAAGCGGGAAGCCCCCUUCAAAACAAGGUCUCCCUUGAGAGCCGUGGAAGACCACCACGUCGAUAGGCCGGAGGUGUAAGUGCAGCAAUGCAUUCAGCUGACCGGUACUAAUUGCUU